GUUAGCUUUCAAGCACUGAAUUCGGUGUUUGUAGAAGCUCAUUCACAAGGGUGAGCUGUUUUGCCUGAUUUUCUGUACUAGGAUCUACUUUCUAACAUCUUACUGACUCCAAGUCCCUUCAGUUGAAAUGAAUAUAUGACUGGGAAAUGCUUUUCUGGUUGGUUAUAGCCAUAACCUAUUAUAUGAAUGGGUGCAACUGUUUUUUAUAUCUCACAUGUGAUUCAAAAAAUGCUAUUCGUUUGAUAAAACUUUAUGAAUCAUCCCAUUGCAUCAUGUGAAUGUCCAAUCAGAUGGCAAUAUA
Molecule: unclassified non-coding RNA, 301 nt
Filed under: Hevea brasiliensis (rubber tree)
Lineage: Eukaryota; Viridiplantae; Streptophyta; Magnoliopsida; Malpighiales; Euphorbiaceae
Source: RNAcentral